UACGGAGGGUGCGAGCGUUAAUCGGAAUUACUGGGCGUAAAGCGCGCGUAGGCGGUUUGUUAAGUCGGGUGUGAAAUCCCUGGGCUCAACCUAGGAAUUGCAUUCGAUACUGGCAGGCUAGAGUGUGGUAGAGGGAAGUGGAAUUCCAGGUGUAGCGGUGAAAUGCGUAGAUAUCUGGAGGAACAUCAGUGGCGAAGGCGACUUCCUGGACCAACACUGACGCUGAGGCGCGAAAGCGUGGGGAGCAAACAGG
RNAcentral lists this ribosomal RNA (253 nucleotides) under uncultured bacterium. Its description in RNAcentral is "partial 16S ribosomal RNA". It matches the Rfam family "Bacterial small subunit ribosomal RNA", at positions 524 to 776 of the family's 1533-position model. The record is from RNAcentral.